Long non-coding RNA from Meriones unguiculatus (Mongolian gerbil), 1329 nucleotides. RefSeq lists it as uncharacterized. The record is from RefSeq and is a predicted model, not a curated record. The transcript is spliced from 3 exons. NCBI's taxonomy places the organism in Eukaryota, Metazoa, Chordata, Mammalia, Rodentia, Muridae.
GGGCCACCACGUGGGUGCCCCCCGGCGCCGGGGCCAGUUGCCGGGCGUCGAUGUUCAGGUCUCUCUCCACGCCCCGGAGCAGCUCCUCCAUGUCGGGCCCUGAAGGUGGGCAACAGCCCUCGACCCCCGCCGGUCCUGCGCUCCGGGGUGCAGCGGGGCGGGCAGCGCCGAGCGCCAGCUCUCUGCUCCACCGUGAUGGGUCAGCUGAUGCUGGUCAUGUGAUCUCCCAGACACGGAAACAACAGCACGUGUCUCUAAAGGCACCGGGCUUCUUCCCAGCCUCGCUUGGUUCUGGGACCACCCGAACGACUCAGCCGCCCUUAGGUGCAGAGGAGGAUCAUCCUGAACAAGACACUGGACCGCUCCCAUCCCUGAUUUCUCCUGCAGGCUCUGAGCCGCGGAUGGAGUGAGGCUCACCUUGGAAAUGCCAGCCCUUUAGCCAGGCGUCUGCUCUGCCAACAGCAGAUCCAGGCCUUUACACAGCACCCUCUCAGCGCUCCCACGCUACUCUACACACCAAGGAGUUUAAUUUUCCGAAGCAUUUGGUUAAUAACUUGCCAUUUGGCCCUCACAACGAUCUAGGAAAUAGAGAAGUGGCCCAGGCAACAGAGGCCUGGAGUUCUUAAAGGAAAAGUUCUCCCGAGACUUCCUGUUGAAAAUGCAGAUGCACAGAACCAGUUAGCAUGGUGACAGCCUUGCAGACGCCACUGUGGCUCUUGGUGCAGCACAGGACAGGGAACAGAAACCAGAGGGCCUGUGCUCAAAGCUCCCAAUAAAAGUUUUGGUUCUGGCUCAUGUACAGUCCCAGCCAGCAAACAACUUGUUUUCAAAUGUGCUCGGACACAUUUGAGCGUGUGUGUGUGUGUGUGUGUGUGUGUGUAAGUCUCUACCUAAGAGUUUGGUGCUGAGGUUCAGGCCCUUAAAAGCACUUAAAAAGAGGGACGAGAGCUGGUGCAGCAGUUAAAACCACUUCUGCUCCAGGGGAUCUCACAGCCAGCUUCCACAAGCACUCACACACCCACACUUAUACACAUAUAGAAGAAUAACUCAGUUUUAGAAAUUAAAAUCCAGGUGUGGUGGCACAACCUUUAAUCCCAGCAUUUGAGAGGCAGAGACAGGCCAGAUCUCUGUGAGUUCCAGACCAGCAAAGGCUACGUAGUGAGACCCUAUCUCAAAAUAAAAUAAGACAGAUCCGCCAGAAGAUUACUGCUAGUUCAAAGCCAGUGCACUUGAGACUUCCAGGGCAGCCAGGGCUGCACAACAAGAUCUAACUCAAAAAAGACAGGGGAGAGAGGAAAGAGGCCCAGAGAACGACAACAGUGCUUUAGA